Molecule: ribosomal RNA, 390 nt
Filed under: uncultured bacterium
Lineage: Bacteria
Description: bacterial SSU rRNA
Rfam family: Bacterial small subunit ribosomal RNA
Source: RNAcentral
AUUGAACGCUGGCGGCAUGCCUUACACAUGCAAGUCGAACGGCAGCACGGGAGCAAUCCUGGUGGCGAGUGGCGAACGGGUGAGUAAUAUACCGGAACGUGCCCAGUCGUGGGGGAUAACGUAGCGAAAGCUACGCUAAUACCGCAUACGAUCUAUGGAUGAAAGCGGGGGAUCGCAAGACCUCGCGCGAUUGGAGCGGCCGAUAUCAGAUUAGGUAGUUGGUGAGGUAAAGGCUCACCAAGCCGACGAUCUGUAGCUGGUCUGAGAGGACGACCAGCCACACUGGGACUGAGACACGGCCCAGACUCCUACGGGAGGCAGCAGUGGGGAAUUUUGGACAAUGGGCGCAAGCCUGAUCCAGCAAUGCCGCGUGCAGGAUGAAGGCCUCGG